UAUAGCAGGUCUAUUGAUACAUCUUGCCUCAUAUCAUAUUUUUGAGGAUUUUUUCAUGUAUCAACAAAUAUAUGGGUGAGGUAGUUAGAAUAUGGUAGAUUGCGUUUAAUUUUUGUUAUAGUGUCGUACACCGAUUUGAUUUGAUUUGGUAGAUUCCAGUUCGGUUUUUGUUCAAUUUAAUUUUCGCGUCUGGAUCAUACUGAAUCCGAAUCUGAAUCUGUUACAGUAUUCUCAAUCGUUUCUAGAUGACGGCUGGUGCUGAAAUUGUUUGCAGUGAGGUGGUUCGUAAGGUGGAGACUAUGGAGAAGUGUGGUUCUGGUGUGAAUGAAGUCGUGGUGAUGCUACUGUUGAUUAUAAUGUCGGUGAUAAUGGUAAUGGUAAUGGCAACGGCGAUUCCGACUAUGUGUUUGUGAACAUGAGUGUCGUGGUGAGUUUGGUGAUGCAGCUGGUGUUAAUGUUGAUGGUGAAGUUGAGCAGUUUAAGAAUGAAGGGGCGACUGUUGAUCCGUUGGUGUUGGAGACUAAUGGUGUUGUUCACAGGGCUAUGAGUAUAACAAUAAGUGUUAUGGAGGUAAGUGCGGUUAAAGACGAUGUAAAUGUCGAGAAUGGAUUCGUUGUUGAUCCUCAUGUGGUCCUGUGCUAGCUGGAGCAUCGUUGGACUGAAGGAAUGGAAUAAAAGAAUUUUAAUGGCAAAGAUUUGGUGUGGCUGCAUCUGUUUAUAUUGUUUGGCAGGAACGGAAUAACAAAAUUUUUAAUGGUAAACAAAAGUCUGCUCAGGUCCUUUGCCAACAGAUUCAGGAUAUUGUUCGGUAUAGAUUGUUGGGUCUCUCUUUUAAAUGGUCGCGCCAGGUUACUUUCGUUACUCCUGUUUGGAAUUUCAAGGUUUGUGAUGUGAAGUGAUUCUUGUGUAUUUGGUCAUUUGAUGGAGGUGCAAAUUAUAACUUUUAUUUCAGAGGUCCAGGGUUUGGGUAUGUCUGAUAGAGCUGCAAAUUAUAACUUUUAUUUCAUUUUGGGUGGAAGCCUUUAUUACAAAAGCCUUAGUGACAUAGUAGGUCAAGAUGGUCGAGGCAUAAAGUCUAAACUAUCUUGGAGACAAAAAGGAAGCUAUAAGCUGGAAAUAAGGUUUUUAAUGAAAAGAUUAAGAGGAUAUGAGGUAUUCAGAAGGAUAUAUGGUUAUAUAGUGUGGCUGAAGGAAGAUAGAAGGUUUACAAGAGAACCCAAGUUAUAAGAUGUGUAUGUACACCUAAAGGUCAUCGAGAUGCAGUUAAAGCAAGCAGCAACAAUUUAGCAUUCCUAAGUGUCUAAUAUGUGUUCCCACUUUAGCAUUCUUUUUCUUUAUCAAUCUUUAGUAAGUUGUUUAAAGAUAUAAAUGAUUACUAACUAGUAUACAAUUGACGAA
Molecule: long non-coding RNA, 1398 nt
Organism: Helianthus annuus (common sunflower)
Lineage: Eukaryota; Viridiplantae; Streptophyta; Magnoliopsida; Asterales; Asteraceae
Exons: 3
Source: RefSeq, a predicted model, not a curated record